Molecule: ribosomal RNA, 496 nt
Filed under: uncultured bacterium
Lineage: Bacteria
Description: partial 16S ribosomal RNA
Rfam family: Bacterial small subunit ribosomal RNA
Source: RNAcentral
GAUGAACGCUGGCGGCGUGCCUAAUACAUGCAAGUCGAGCGAACAGACGAGGAGCUUGCUCCUCUGACGUUAGCGGCGGACGGGUGAGUAACACGUGGAUAACCUACCUAUAAGACUGGGAUAACUUCGGGAAACCGGAGCUAAUACCGGAUAAUAUAUUGAACCGCAUGGUUCAAUAGUGAAAGACGGUUUUGCUGUCACUUAUAGAUGGAUCCGCGCCGCAUUAGCUAGUUGGUAAGGUAACGGCUUACCAAGGCAACGAUGCGUAGCCGACCUGGGAGGGUGAUCGGCCACACUGGAACUGAGACACGUUCCAGACUCCUACGGGAGGCAGCAGUAGGGAAUCUUCCGCAAUGGGCGAAAGCCUGACGGAGCAACGCCGCGUGAGUGAUGAAGGUCUUCGGAUCGUAAAACUCUGUUAUUAGGGAAGAACAAAUGUGUAAGUAACUAUGCACGUCUUGACGGUACCUAAUCAGAAGGCCACGGCUAACUACGU